This is a long non-coding RNA of Symphalangus syndactylus (siamang), 2445 nucleotides long. RefSeq lists it as uncharacterized. Lineage: Eukaryota; Metazoa; Chordata; Mammalia; Primates; Hylobatidae. The record is from RefSeq and is a predicted model, not a curated record.
CAAGAUUACCCUCCCCCAUCCCCACCUCUCCGGGGCCCGCCCCCUGGGCGACUGUUGGGGUAGUGAGUGACAGCGGAGGAUGGGGGAAGGCAGGGACCCAGCCCUCACGUGCCCCUCCUUCCCUUGUCUGCAGCCACGGGACCCCCAAAACAGUCAGAGAGUCAGAGUUAUGGGGUAUCUGAAGCUUGAUCCCCAGCCACACAGGUCGGGUUAAAUGGCUCUGGCUCAGUGGCAACGCCUGUGCAGUAACCAUUACUGCUUGAUGACCCCCAAACCGGGUCCUGCAAAGCCACCCCCUACUCUCUCAACAGUCUUAGGCCCGCCUGCACCCAGGUGAAAUAAACAGCCUUGUUGCUCACACAAAGCGUGUUGGUGGACUCUCUUCACAUGGAUGUGUGUGACAUUUGGUGCCGAAACCUGGGACAGGAGGACUCCUUCGGGAGACCAGUCCCCCAUCCUCAUCCUCACUCCGUGAGGAGAUCCACGUAUGACCUCAGGUCCUCAGACCAACUAACCCAAGGAACAUCUCACCAAAUUCAAAUCAGGACCCCACUGGAAAUCGGACUGUCCAACUCGCCUGGCAGCCACUCCUAGAGUCCCUAGAACUCUGGCCCAAGGCUAUCUGACUGACGCCUUUCCAGAUCUUCUCGGCUUAGGGGCUGAAGACUGACGCUGCCCAAUCGCCUCAAAAACCUCCUGGACCAUCAUGGACGCUUUGGGUAACUCUUACAGUGGAGGAUUCCCAGCCACAUGAAGACACCCUAGCUGGACGAUCAGUUCUUGUUAAGAAUCUGACACCUUAAACUCUACAACCUUGAUGGACCGGACCCUACUCAGUCAUCUAUAGUACCCCAACUGCCGUCCACCUGCAGGACCCUCCCCAUUGGGUUCACUGUUGUAGAAUAAAGCUGUGUCCGUUGGACAGCCAGCCUGAUCUCUCCUCUUCCUCCUGGAAGUUACGGAGUCUCGCUCUGUUGCCCAGGCUGGAGUGCAGUGGCGCGAUCUCAGCUCACUGCAAGCUCCAUCUCCCAGGUUCACGCCAUUCUCCUGCCUCAGGCUCCUGAGUAGCUGGGACUACAGGUGCCUGCCACCAUGCCCGGCUAAUUUUUUGUAUUUUUUUAGUAGAUACAGGGUUUCACCACGUUAGUCAGGAUGGUCUUGAUCUCCUGACCUUGUGAUCCACCCACUUCGGCCUCCCAAAGUGCUGGGAUUACAGGCAUGAGCCACCAUGCCCGGCCUACCUUUAUACUCACUUAUUCUCAUUCCUGUUCUUAUACCACCCUCUACUCUCCCCAGCUAUCUCCACCACACUAUCAAUCUCACUCACUCUCUCCUAGCCGUUUCUAAUCCUUCUUUAACAAACAAUUGCUGGCUUUGCCUUUCUCUUUCCUCCAAAAUUACCGAGGCCUCGACUUACUCAUUGCUAAAAAAAGGGGACUAUGUAUAUUUUUAAAUGAAGAGUGUUGUUUUUACCUAAAUCAAUCUGGCCUGGUAUAUGACAACAUAAAAAAACUCAAGGAUAGAGCCCAAAAACUCACCAACCAAGCAAAUAAUUACACUGAACCCCCUUGGGCACUCUCUAAUUGGAUGUCCUGGGUCCUCCCAAUUCUUAGUCCUUUAAUACCUGUUUUUCUCCUUCUCUUAUUCGGACUUUGUGUCUUCUGUUUAGUUUCUCAAUUCAUACAAAACUGCAUCCAGGCCAUCACCAAUCAUUCUCUAUGACAAAUGCUCCUUCCAACAACCCCACAAUAUCACCCCUUACCCCAAAAUCUUUCUUCAGUUUAAUCUCUCCCACUCUAGGUUCCCAUGCCACCCCUAAUCCCAUUCGAAGCAGCCCUGAGAAACAUUACCCAUUAUCUCUCCAUACCACCCCCAAAAUACAUUCGCCACCCCAACACUUCACCACCAUUUUGUUUUGUUUUUCUUAUUAAUAUAAGAAGACAGGAAUGUCAGGCCUCUGAGCCCAAGCUAAGCCAUCAUAUCCCCUGUGACCAGCACUAUACAUCCAUAUGGCCUGAAGCAACUGAAGAUCCACAAAAGAAGUGAAAAUAGCCAAUUCCUGCCUUAACUGAUGACAUUCCACCAUUCCUGCCCCACCCUAACUGAUCAAUUGACUUUGUGACAAUACACCCUCCCCACCCUUGGGAUAAUGUACUUUGUGAUAUUCCCCCAGCCUUGCAAAUGUACUUUGUAUGAUACACCCCACCCUUGAGAAGGUACUUUGCAAUAUGCUCCCCCACCCUUAAGAAGGUACUUUGUAAGGUUCUCCCUACCCUUUGUACUUUGUAAGAUCCACCCCCUGCCUGCAAAAAAUUGCUCCUAACUCCACUGCCUAUCCCAAACCUAUAAGAACUCAUGAUAAUCCCACCACCCUUUGCUGACUGCUUUUUUGGACUCAGCUUGCCUACACCCAGGUGAAAUAAACAGCCUUGUUGCUCACACAAA